RNAcentral lists this transfer RNA (65 nucleotides) under Stenamma impar. RNAcentral's name for it is "tRNA-Cys". It matches the Rfam family "tRNA". Rfam says of the family: Transfer RNA (tRNA) molecules are approximately 80 nucleotides in length. Their secondary structure includes four short double-helical elements and three loops (D, anti-codon, and T loops). Further hydrogen bonds mediate the characteristic L-shaped molecular structure. tRNAs have two regions of fundamental functional importance: the anti-codon, which is responsible for specific mRNA codon recognition, and the 3' end, to which the tRNAs corresponding amino acid is attached (by aminoacyl-tRNA synthetases). tRNAs cope with the degeneracy of the genetic code in two manners: having more than one tRNA (with a specific anti-codon) for a particular amino acid; and 'wobble' base-pairing, i.e. permitting non-standard base-pairing at the 3rd anti-codon position. The record is from RNAcentral. Lineage: Eukaryota; Metazoa; Arthropoda; Insecta; Hymenoptera; Formicidae.
UAUGUUAUAGUUUAUUAAAAUAUUAAAUUGCAAAUUUAAAGAUAUUAGGAAUCUAAUUAACAUAU